GGCUUGUAAAUCUUCAAGAUGGUCGGUCUGGCCGUUACCAUGACUUCCACCCCGUGAAGGGUAUACAGAAGUUUUCUUCUCCAAUCCCCAAACUUCCAAUCCUG
Long non-coding RNA from Haliotis rubra (blacklip abalone), 104 nucleotides. RefSeq lists it as uncharacterized. NCBI's taxonomy places the organism in Eukaryota, Metazoa, Mollusca, Gastropoda, Lepetellida, Haliotidae. The record is from RefSeq and is a predicted model, not a curated record. The transcript is spliced from 3 exons.